Molecule: long non-coding RNA, 1449 nt
Filed under: Ursus maritimus (polar bear)
Lineage: Eukaryota; Metazoa; Chordata; Mammalia; Carnivora; Ursidae
Description: lncRNA (ENSUMAG00000024902.1)
Source: RNAcentral
GAAAAAACCACUCCCAUCCUGUUCUGGAAGCAUCUACCACAAAUGGUCACCGAGAGCAUUACAUGAAAAGGUCCUUAGGAAGCAUCUGGCUGUAGGGCCUGGCGCACAGCCCGCCCAAGGAAAUCCUCCCUGCCUUGCCAACAUCUCGGUCGCUGUCACGCACAUCAGUGAUUCUGCGAGGAAGCGGCAGUGAAGUGGGAGGGAGCAAGUCCUCAGGGCCUGGCUGGGUGGGGCCCGCCCGCGGGGUGGGCCGCUGGGAGGGGCUCAUCUCCAGCCUCCACUGCAGGUACCAGGCGGAGGCUGUCCACCUCCUCCAGCAGAAUGCCUCGGCCGCUGCCAGGGCCUUGCCCGAGGUGCACGUGCUGGCCAACUGCUGCAUCCUCAGGAAAACGUGGCAGGAGCUGAGCCAGCAACAUGUUCCGUGUGCAGACCUGGGCCUGGCUGUGCAAGGCACGAUCCAGCACAUUGAGGACCACAGCCGGGACAACCUCCUGCCUCGAGUCAGGGCCUUGUGCCAGAGUCUGCUAAGGGGCCACUUUGGGAAGAAGGACAAGGAUCUGGUUGGAGCUCUGCAGUCCCUGUGGCAGGGCCUGGAGGGCUGCCCCAACAUGCACUCUACUCCCACGUACAAGAGAAUCAUGCGAAGUUUGCACACGGUGGUCUUUGGGGAGUAUGUCCAGGCCCUGGCCACCCACCUCAGGACGCUGGAGCCUGGGACGUGGGAGGGCCUCGGGGUUCAGGUGGAGACAGACACCAGGAAGUUGCACGACAUCUUCACGAAGCAUGGGGACCUCGGCUUGACCAACCCACAGGAGUCCAUCAUGGGGAUCUUCCAGUCCCGUGAGAACAAGAGCAGGGAGACUGUGGAUGACUGGCUGGCCUCCUUCAGGGACAGAUUCCCAGGUUAUGUGAGCAUUCAGGACCAGCCAUGCAGCUCUGUGGACCUGGACAAGGAGAUUGAGGUCAAGGGAAGCUACUGCCGCUGCUGCUGCUGACACCCCCAGCUCUGGACAAGGUGACCACGGGUGCAAAGCUCCAGAGCACUCCUCCAGGGGAGGCGAUGGGGGAGGGUCCCGCCCUGGGCAGGGUGGGGAGCCAGGUCAAGGGGCACAGUGGAGCAGGGUCCAGCUGCUUUCGGUAGACAAGGCGUCACCUUGUGCUCUAGGCCAGCAGUUCUCAGGAGCUGGUCUCAGGACCCCUUUACUCUGAGCAAUUACUGAACUAAAGAAGUAUAGCUAAUGUGAUUAUACUGAAGAGCUACCGCAUUAGAAAUUAAGACCAAGAAAUAUUUAGUAAUUCAUUUAUUUGUUAAAAUUAGUAAUUCAUUAAAACAGAAAAUUACUAUUUAUUAAAUAACUAUAAACAAAGUAAAUGAUAAAAUGUAUUAUUUAUAUGUGACUAAAUAGAUUUGGAAAUAAAUUAGUAUCUAUAUAAAAAUAAUACUAAUUU